Non-coding RNA from Staphylotrichum tortipilum, 81 nucleotides. The record is from the annotation of a GenBank genome assembly. Lineage: Eukaryota; Fungi; Ascomycota; Sordariomycetes; Sordariales; Chaetomiaceae.
GGGUGCAUGGUCUAGUGGUAUGAUUUUCGCUUCGCAUUUCGUGCAUGUGAACGGUCCCCGGUUCGAUCCCGGGUGCAUCCA